Molecule: ribosomal RNA, 523 nt
Filed under: uncultured Cortinarius
Lineage: Eukaryota; Fungi; Basidiomycota; Agaricomycetes; Agaricales; Cortinariaceae
Description: eukaryotic LSU rRNA
Rfam family: 5.8S ribosomal RNA (bases 173-326)
Source: RNAcentral
ACCUUGUGCACCUUUUGUAGACCUGGAUAUCUCUCUGAAUGCACACAAGCAUUUGGGUUUGAGGGGUUGACUUUUUGGUCUCCCUUUAUAUUUCCAGGCCUAUGUUUCUUUCAUAUACCCCACUUGUGUUAUAGAAUGUAAUAAAUGGGCCUUUGUGCCUGUAAAGCUAUACAACUUUCAGCAACGGAUCUCUUGGCUCUCGCAUCGAUGAAGAACGCAGCGAAAUGCGAUAAGUAAUGUGAAUUGCAGAAUUCAGUGAAUCAUCGAAUCUUUGAACGCACCUUGCGCUCCUUGGUAUUCCGAGGAGCAUGCCUGUUUGAGUGUCAUUAAUAUAUCAACCUCCUCAACUUGUGUUGAGUGGUUUGGAUGUGGGGGUUUGCUGGCCUUUCAAAAGGUUUCAGCUCCUCUGAAAUGCAUUAGCAGAACAAACCUUGUUCAUUGGUGUGAUAACUAUCUACGCUUAUGAAUGUGAGGGGCAGUUCAGCUUUCUAAUCGUCUUUGGACAAUUCAUCAUUAAUGUGAC